UGGUAGUNCACGCCGUAAACGAUGAGUGCUAGGUGUUAGGCCCUUUCCGGGGCUUAGUGCCGGAGCUAACGCAAUAAGCACUCCGCCUGGGGAGCACGACCGCAAGGUUGAAACUCAAAGGAAUUGUCGGGGGCCCGCACAAGCGGUGGAGCAUGUGGUUUAAUUCGAAGCAACGCGAAGAACCUUACCAGGUCUUGACAUCCCGAUGCUAUUCUUAGAGAUAGGAAGUUACUUCGGUACAUCGGAGACAGGUGGUGCAUGGUUGUCGUCAGCUCGUGUCGUGAGAUGUUGGGUUAANNNNCGCAACGAGCGCAACCCUUAUUGUUAGUUGCCAUCAUUAAGUUGGGCACUCUAGCGAGACUGCCGGUAAUAAACCGGAGGAAGGUGGGGAUGACGUCAAAUCAUCAUGCCCCUUAUGACCUGGGCUACACACGUGCUACAAUGGUCGGUACAACGAGUUGCGAGCCGGUGACGGCAAGCUAAUCUCUGAAAGCCGAUCUCAGUUCGGAUUGGAGGCUGCAACUCGCCUCCAUGAAGUCGGAAUCGCUAGUAAUCGCGGAUCAGCACGCCGCGGUGAAUACGUUCCCGGGCCUNGU
RNAcentral lists this ribosomal RNA (596 nucleotides) under uncultured bacterium. Its description in RNAcentral is "bacterial SSU rRNA". It matches the Rfam family "Bacterial small subunit ribosomal RNA", at positions 788 to 1384 of the family's 1533-position model. The record is from RNAcentral.